GCCGAAGUGGCGGAACGGUAGACGCAGCGGAUUCAAAAUCCGCCGGGGUAGCCCCCCGUGAGGGUUCGAGUCCCUCCUUCGGUA
Non-coding RNA from Myxococcales bacterium 68-20, 84 nucleotides. NCBI's taxonomy places the organism in Bacteria, Pseudomonadati, Myxococcota, Myxococcia, Myxococcales. The record is from Rfam.